RNAcentral lists this ribosomal RNA (1168 nucleotides) under Stenotrophomonas sp. Its description in RNAcentral is "bacterial SSU rRNA". It matches the Rfam family "Bacterial small subunit ribosomal RNA", at positions 292 to 1447 of the family's 1533-position model. The record is from RNAcentral. Lineage: Bacteria; Pseudomonadati; Pseudomonadota; Gammaproteobacteria; Lysobacterales; Lysobacteraceae.
UGAUGCAUGAUUCAGUUAUCAUGCAACUGAGACUCGUCAGUCUACGAGUGCAUGCAGUCGGCAUGUGACCAUCGGCGCAGCUGCAUCCAGGCAUCACCGAGUUGGGGGAUGUAGGCGAUCGGGUGUAGACGUCCUUAUUGUCUGGUAAUGAGAAGCAAUUCAGGUCAUACUCGAUUGCUAUGACUGUACCCCAGAUGAAUAUAGCACCGAGCUAACCUCGUAGGCAGCAGCCCGCGGUAAUACGAAGGGUGCAAGCGGUAAUCAGUAAUUACGUGGGUCGUAAAGCGUGCGUAGGUGGUGGUUUAAGUCUGUCGUGAAGCCCUGAGAUCAGCGUGGGAAAUUGCGAUGGAUACUGGUCGACUAGAGUGUGGCAGAGGGUAGUGGAAUUCUUGGUGUAGCAGUGAAAUGCGUAGAGAUCAGGAGGAACAUCCGUGGCGAAUGUGACUGCCUGGGCCAACGCUGACAGUGAGGCACGAAAGCGUGGGGAGCAAACAGGAUUAGAUACCCUGGUAGUCCACGCCCUAUACGAUGCGAAUUGGAUGUUGGGUGCAAUUUGGCACGCAGUAUCGAAGCUAACGCGUUAAGUUCGCCGCCUGGGGAGUACGGUCGCAAGACUGAAACUCAAAGGAAUUGACGGGGGCCCGCACAAGCGGUGGAGUAUGUGGUUUAAUUGGAUGCAACGCGAAGAACCUUACCUGGCCUUGACAUGCACGGAACUUUCCAGAGAUGGAUUGGUGCCUUCGGGAACCGUGACACAGGUGCUGCAUGGCUGUCGUCACCUCGUGUCCUGAGAUGUUGGGAUAAGUCCCGCAACGAGCGCAACCCUUGUCCUUAGUUGCCAGCACGUAAUGGUGGGAACUCUAAGGAGACCGCCGGUGACAAACCGGAGGAAGGUGGGGAUGACGUCAAGUCAUCAUGGGCCUUACGCCCAGGGCUACACACGUACUACAAUGGUAGGGACAGAGGGUUCCAAGCCGGUGACGGUGAGCCAAUCCCCGAAACCAUAUCUCAGUCCGGAUUGGAGUCUGCAACUCGACUCCAUGAAGUCGGAAUCGCUAGUAAUCGCAGAUCAGCAUUGCUGCGAUGAAUACGUUCCCGGUCCUUCUCCACACCCCCCGCCACACCAUGGGAGUUUGUUGCACCAGAAGCAGGUAGCUAACCUAGGAGA